AUUGAACGCUGGCGGCAGGCCUAACACAUGCACGCCGAACGAGUGGCGGACGGGUGAGUAAUGUCUGGGAAACUGCCUGAUGGAGGGGGAUAACUACUGGAUACGGUAGCUAAUACCGCAUACCAUCGGAUGUGCCCAGAUGGGAUCAGCCAGUAGGUGGGGUAACGGCUCACCUAGGCGACGUUCCCUAGCUGGUCUGAGAGGAUGACCAACCACAGUGGAACUGAGACACGGUCCAGACUCCUACGGAAGGAAGCAGUGGGGAAUAGUGCACAAUGGGAGCAAGCCUGAUGCAGCCAUGCGGAGUGUGGGAAGAAGGCCGUCGGGUUGUAAGGCACUUUCAGCGGGGAGGCGUUACCCGCAGAAGAAGCACCGGCUAACUCCGUGCCAGCAGCCGCGGUAAUUC
Molecule: ribosomal RNA, 406 nt
Filed under: uncultured bacterium
Lineage: Bacteria
Description: partial 16S ribosomal RNA
Rfam family: Bacterial small subunit ribosomal RNA
Source: RNAcentral